GGUUAUUUAGUUUAGUUAAAAUAUGGGUUUUGUAAUCCCAGGAUAACGUCCAUCGUUAUUAACCU
Molecule: transfer RNA, 65 nt
Filed under: Tylocephalum sp. DTJL-2012
Lineage: Eukaryota; Metazoa; Platyhelminthes; Cestoda; Lecanicephalidea; Tetragonocephalidae
Description: tRNA-Thr
Rfam family: tRNA
About the family: Transfer RNA (tRNA) molecules are approximately 80 nucleotides in length.
Source: RNAcentral